This 418-nucleotide long non-coding RNA is filed under the name Nothobranchius furzeri (turquoise killifish). Its description in RNAcentral is "lncRNA (ENSNFUG00015002565.1)". Lineage: Eukaryota; Metazoa; Chordata; Actinopteri; Cyprinodontiformes; Nothobranchiidae. The record is from RNAcentral.
AUGGCAGAGGGAGAUUCUGACUCAAGGGGUUUUGGCGCAUCCUACUCGUUCCCGGGGUGGUCGAACCCCUUCUCCUCUCCUGCUUUCUGCCCCGUCCUGUUUUUUCCGAUGGAAGCCGAGGAUCCUGGAGUUUUGAUGGAGCCUCCGCCUGUUGGAUCCAGUCGAGUCACGGUGUGCACCUGCUCAGGAUUGUUGCCGAGUACCUGCUACUGCUCCUGGUUUCCUCGCGUCGCUCCUGCAGUUUCGUCCCACUUCCUGGUCCACGCCUGCAGGUCCGUCAUGCUGCAGUUCUCUGCUGGGUUCCACGCCUGCUGCUGCAGUUCUCUGCUGGGUCCCACGCCUGCUGCUGCAGUUCUCUGCUGGGUCCCACGCCUGCUGCUGCAGUUCUCUGCUGGGUCCCACGCCUGCUGCUGCAGUU